RNAcentral lists this ribosomal RNA (508 nucleotides) under uncultured bacterium. Its description in RNAcentral is "partial 16S ribosomal RNA". It matches the Rfam family "Bacterial small subunit ribosomal RNA", at positions 28 to 507 of the family's 1533-position model. The record is from RNAcentral.
GACGAACGCUGGCGGCGUGCCUAAUACAUGCAAGUCGAACGCUUCUUUCCUCCCGAGUGCUUGCACUCAAUUGGAAAGAGGAGUGGCGGACGGGUGAGUAACACGUGGGUAACCUACCCAUCAGAGGGGGAUAACACUUGGAAACAGGUGCUAAUACCGCAUAACAGUUUAUGCCGCAUGGCAUAAGAGUGAAAGGCGCUUUCGGGUGUCGCUGAUGGAUGGACCCGCGGUGCAUUAGCUAGUUGGUGAGGUAACGGCGCACCAAGGCCACGAUGCAUAGCCGACCUGAGAGGGUGAUCGGCCACACUGGGACUGAGACACGGCCCAGACUCCUACGGGAGGCAGCAGUAGGGAAUCUUCGGCAAUGGACGAAAGUCUGACCGAGCAACGCCGCGUGAGUGAAGAAGGUUUUCGGAUCGUAAAACUCUGUUGUUAGAGAAGAACAAGGACGUUAGUAACUGAACGUCCCCUGACGGUAUCUAACCAGAAAGCCACGGCUAACUACGUG